RNAcentral lists this ribosomal RNA (438 nucleotides) under uncultured bacterium. RNAcentral's name for it is "bacterial SSU rRNA". It matches the Rfam family "Bacterial small subunit ribosomal RNA", at positions 338 to 773 of the family's 1533-position model. The record is from RNAcentral.
CCUACGGGGGGCAGCAGUGAGGAAUAUUGGUCAAUGGGCGAGAGCCUGAACCAGCCAAGUCGCGUGAAGGAUGAAGGAUCUAUGGUUUGUAAACUUCUUUUAUAUGGGAAUAAAGUGAGGAACGUGUUCCUUUUUGUAUGUACCAUAUGAAUAAGCAUCGGCUAACUCCGUGCCAGCAGCCGCGGUAAUACGGAGGAUGCGAGCGUUAUCCGGAUUUAUUGGGUUUAAAGGGUGCGUAGGUGGUUAAUUAAGUCAGCGGUGAAAGUUUGUGGCUCAACCAUAAAAUUGCCGUUGAAACUGGUUGACUUGAGUAUAUUUGAGGUAGGCGGAAUGCGUGGUGUAGCGGUGAAAUGCAUAGAUAUCACGCAGAACUCCGAUUGCGAAGGCAGCUUACUAAACUAUAACUGACACUGAAGCACGAAAGCGUGGGGAUCAAAC